RNAcentral lists this ribosomal RNA (508 nucleotides) under uncultured bacterium. Its description in RNAcentral is "partial 16S ribosomal RNA". It matches the Rfam family "Bacterial small subunit ribosomal RNA", at positions 28 to 507 of the family's 1533-position model. The record is from RNAcentral.
GACGAACGCUGGCGGCGUGCCUAAUACAUGCAAGUCUAACGCUUCUUUCCUCCCGAGUGCUUGCACUCAAUUGGAAAGAGGAGUGGCGGACGGGUGAGUAACACGUGGGUAACCUACCCAUCAGAGGGGGAUGACACUUGGAAACAGGUGCUAAUACCGCAUAACAGUUUAUGCCGCAUGGCAUAAGAGUGAAGGGCGCUUUCGGGUGUCGCUGAUGGAUGGACCCGCGGUGCAUUAGCUAGUUGGUGAGGUAACGGCUCACCAAGGCCACGAUGCAUAGCCGACCUGAGAGGGUGAUCGGCCACACUGGGACUGAGACACGGCCCAGACUCCUACGGGAGGCAGCAGUAGGGAAUCUUCGGCAAAGGACGAAAGUCUGACCGAGCAACGCCGCGUGAGUGAAGAAGGUUUUCGGAUCGUAAAACUCUGUUGUUAGAGAAGAACAAGGACGUUAGUAACUGAACGUCCCCUGACGGUAUCUAACCAGAAAGCCACGGCUAACUACGUG